Long non-coding RNA from Cryptomeria japonica (Japanese cedar), 1735 nucleotides. RefSeq lists it as uncharacterized. The record is from RefSeq and is a predicted model, not a curated record. Lineage: Eukaryota; Viridiplantae; Streptophyta; Pinopsida; Cupressales; Cupressaceae. The transcript is spliced from 5 exons.
UGGAGGCAAUCACUAGAGAGAUCGAAGUAGGAAUUUGAAAGUACUUAAAGUAAAUAAUUGCAAUUCAACAUAAACCAAUUUCUUCAGAUUAUGUAUGGGCGGACAAGAAGUAUCAGUAGCCUUCAACCUCAAAUUAGCUUCCAUUCUUUGCAGCUUUUUGUAACCUCUGCUUCUCAAGGAUCAGUACCUCCGUGGAGAAUGAAUUUGUUCGUUGGUGUUGGUGUGCGUGUUCAGUUUUGUUGAGGUAAUAAUAACAGAACUGAAGCAAAUAUUGGAAGCAGAAACAUCAUUGUGCUUAGUGCGAGACAUUCAUUACUUAUGAUGGUGUGUAUAAUGAAGCUGAAAUUUGAUCUGUAUUGGGCGUUUCAUUCCUGGGAAAGCAGAGCAAUCUGCAGGUACAUCACGACCCUGGUAGAGUGCAAUCUGCCUUGGCCGAACGAUGAAAUUCACACCAAGAUCGGAACAUCUUGGGCGAAAGGGUUUUCGGCAAAGGAGAUGCCGCUUUUUCCAGGAAAGACUGUCAAACUUUAACGGUAGUGGGAGGGCCGACCCCACCAUUGACGGGCAUUUCCGCAAGCAUCUGAGCGCCCUCUGCAGUCGGCAUGCAGAUCCAGUGGUGGCCUUGGACAAUGGCAGCGCGUCUUCAUUCGAUUCCCACUACUACAGAAAUUUGGAAAGCGGAAAAGGGCUUCUGUAUGUCGAUCAGGCGUUAAUGGCGGCACCCCUCACCCGCAGCAUAGUCGACUUGUACGCUUCCAAUCAGCAGCUCUUCUACCGUGAUUUCUCACUCGCCAUGGUCAAACUUUUCAACCUGAAUGUGCUCACAGGAAAACAGGGGCAGAUAAGAAAAGAGUGCUCUAAGCUUGUCAAUAGCAGCGGGAGGUCAAGAAAGCCCGUCACUGGCAAAUUGAAGUUGCUCUGGUACAGCCUCACUCCCGCUUCCAGUCGCUCAUCAAACAACCCAUCGAUUGCCCCUGCAUUGGCCUCUAUGUAGCCCAGCCUCUAUAAUUGAAGCUUCCAGCCUCUCAUCGAACAACAAGAAGCAUAAGUAGCCUUCGGCCUCAAAUGGGCUUCCAUUCUUUCCUGUUUUUAGUAAACUCUGCUUCCUCAAGAAUGCAAGAUCAGCGCCUCCGUGGAGAAUGACGCUGGGAAUUUGUUUGUCGGCGUUGGUGUGCGUGUCCUAUUGCACUUGGUGCCAGCAGGCACAAGCUAUGGUGCUUGGUGCAAGACAUUCCGUGGUUAUGGCAAUCUGUAGGUACAACACAAUUCAUUUAGCAGCCUGGCAGAGAGAAAUUCACACCAAGAUCCGCUCAUUCGGGGCGAAAGGGUUUUCAGCAAAGGAAAUGGAGAGCUCAGUGCCGCUUUUUCCAGGAAAGACUGUCAAAGUGGGAGAGCAUUGAGAGGCAUUUGAACUCCGUCGUCGUUCGAUUACAGAAAUUUGAAAUUUGGUUGGCAUUCAAUCGUAUCAUAGGGCUUCUAUAUGUCGACUUGUUCGCUUCCAAUCAGGAGCUCUUUUACCGAGAUUGCUCAAACUUUUCAACCUGAACGUGCUCACAGCAAAACAGGGGCAGAUAAGAAAAAAGUGCUCUAAGCUUGUCAGUACCAGCAGGAGGUCAUAUGAUGGGGCUCCUUUCAAAGAUCCAGAAGAAUCAUUUCCCUUUUAAUACAUUUUCUUUUCUGCCUGUCGAUUCUUUCAUGUACUACUCUGUAUAAUCUCUCUUUUGACCAUGGAAAA